Long non-coding RNA from Helianthus annuus (common sunflower), 1544 nucleotides. RefSeq lists it as uncharacterized. The record is from RefSeq and is a predicted model, not a curated record. Lineage: Eukaryota; Viridiplantae; Streptophyta; Magnoliopsida; Asterales; Asteraceae. The transcript has 5 exons.
GCUUACAUGAAUAAAUGUAACAAUGCUCAAUUUUUCAUUGGGCGGCAAUUUUAUAUAAUAACAAUUGAUGAAAGGCCUUAGGAACAGUACACUAAUUGACCAAGUUUUGAAUCAUAUUUACGGUACUGCCACUAUUUCUUUUUGUCCAACAUAGCGAGGGAGGGGAUCAGAUAAACGGUAGAGAGAAGAAGAAAGAGAGAGAGAGAUAAUCGAAGCGACGCCAGCCUAUUCCGGUGACCAUCACUCUUCUGCCCCCGUUCCAGCGACGACGAGUGUCGUUGAUACUAGAGGUUAAUGGUGAUUAUUGACUCAAAAGGAAGCAAACCAUAGCGCCUAAGGUUCUAGCAGAACUCCGGCGAGUCAGACAUGUUGUGCGUGUUCCGUUUUGGUGUAGAUCGGCAAGCACCAAGGUACCGAUGUGUGAAGGAAUCAAGGAAAUGCGUGACACAGACUAACAUAGAAACGGGACGGGAGUGAAGAUAGAGAUAGUGUCCUCCACCAAUCCUUACGGCGGACUCACGGCAGCGCACCGACGGUGACAAGCGACAGUGGUUCCAUCAAUGAUGUCGGUUCGGUGUUACAGGCGACCGGAGGACGAGGGUUCCAUCAGUGAUGUCGGUUCGGUGGUGUCCAGGUGGUGUACGGUGUCGAAGGGAGGCGGUGGCAGAAUUUGGAACUAGGGUUCCGGCCGGUUACCAUAUCCCACAGCCGAUCUGGCUUCAAGACGAUGUCCCCGGCAACAUGCAAUGGCCGGGCAGUUAGGGUUUCGCCCCAAACAGGGGGUGUUUCAUGUGGUGCUCUCCGGUGACGUCAGGUGGUGACGGAGUAACAGAAGCAGGUGACAAUAUCCGGUAACAAUUGUUUUUGGUGUCCAGGUGCAAUCCGUCGAUCGGCUGGUCUGGUCCUAAUUCUAAUAAUCAGUGUUUCGCCUUCUCUUGCACCGACGUAACUCCUGAUUCACCCGUGUUCGCUUCAAUUUACGUGUUUUAAGUAAGCUCCCAAGUCUCAGUCAUCUUUCAGGUACGUGCAGUCCGUUACGAGAUGAGGAUGGGCAACAAACGUUUCUGCAAGCACGUCAACAUACGUCUAUUCUUGCACCACAUGUUCCGAAGGAUCUGUUUUUUACUUCGUCUUCUUAUGUCGCGGGUAUUGUGAAGCACUAAAGUGCGCUUCUGGUAUGCGGAAAAUUAUUUCGUUGUCUUCCUUACAUCAAAGACCCAAGCCAGUCGCGAUAGUGGGUCAGUUUUGUUAAUUGCAGGUUGCAAUUCUUAACAUACCAGUUUCAAAGUUGUGCAUUGCUGGUAACAAGACACAUAUGUAGAGAACAAAAUUGCUCAGACCUUGACGAGUGUCAACCGUGUUACUACAAAUGAUUCAUAAUAAAUCAGAUUGCGUAGAGUGCCACUGCUGGUAAGAUUUUAUUAAUUGCAAAUUGUAUUUUAUAUUAUGUGAGCUUCAUAGUUGGUAAGUUGUAAGGGGACAAGUAUGUAAGGUACAUGUAAUGUGUCAUAUUGCAAAUGCACAUGUACUGAGUUUCAUGUUUU